This 1249-nucleotide long non-coding RNA is filed under the name Olea europaea subsp. europaea. The record is from RNAcentral. Lineage: Eukaryota; Viridiplantae; Streptophyta; Magnoliopsida; Lamiales; Oleaceae.
GGCCAUUGGUGGAUUUAAGCCAAAAAGAAUUGGAAAACGCCUCGUUAUUUUUCACAUCUUUUCUCCCCAAAUUGACUCUCUCUCUCUCUCUCUAUAAAAACGGCAGACUGAAGAGCAAAUAUGGCCGGAACGGAGGUUAGUAUCUAGGACCCUCGACGCCGGUGACACAGUAAUUAGUACUUCGGUCGGCGUCUUUCUCUUCUCAUUUUAGAAUCUGUAAUGGAUGUAUUUUCUCCUAAAUAUUUUGUUCUUUUUUUCAUAUAAUGUGAAGAACAUCAUCAGCAUAUCUUCUCCACGGAUCCUCAAUUCGCAAGCAAAUUCUCAUUUUCGUUUUUUUUUGUAGGUUUUAUUUUUUAUUUUUCACGAGUAUUUUAAUGGAGAUUCCAUGCUCUUUAAUUAAUUCAUAAUCACGAGGAUAAUUAAUUAAGAUUAUUAUUUGGAAAUUGUGUCUGGAAUGGGGCUUGUGUUGUUGCCAGGAAGUUUCAUGGCUUCUGACUUUCUUUCAGUUUUGAGAAUUUGUGUCUUCUUUCAUGGCUUCAGUUUCAGCAGGCAUUCGAUAAUGGGUCUUGAAUUUGCGAUUCAUUUGUUGGCAGAUAACUUGAAUUUUUCUCUGCAGUUUUUUAUUUUCAAUUUUGUUGAUCAAGUUUCCCAUCCCAGCUUGAAACACUGAUAUGUAUGUGGCAUUAGUUUAUCAUUAUUUCAUUGAAAAUUUCUCGUGUUUUAUGCUGAUUUGGUUAAUUGUUGUGGGUGCAACAGAUUUUUUCAAUGGAUGGAAAGAACAGUAGCUGCAGAGGAUGUGGAAAGAACAAGGAUUUCAUUGAAGAUUUGUCCCGUUUGUCCAAAAAUCUUGCUCAAAUAUCUAAAGAAGAGGGCGUGGAGAUAUUACUCAAUACAACUAUCCGCAAGAUAACAAGAGUUACAGAAGAGCAGGAGAAACAAGAGGGAAGAGUUACGGAAGAACGGGAGAAACAAGAGGGAAGAGAUCCGUGAAUUAGUUCCUUACAUUUAAUUGAUUAAAGAUUGAUCUUGUGACUUGUAAUAGUCAUGUUUAUGUAAUAUGCACUAUACGUUUAAGUCGAAUUGUGUUCAUGGUUUAUCUUUCAAUUUUGCAUUUUGAUUAUGUGCGUGUAUGUUCUUGGAGUUAAUAUGACGUAAUAGAACCACGAACUGAGCUUAUUGUAUUGUACAGUUCGUUUAUUGAGAUGGAUGGUUCAUUUGUGCAAUAGUGUUCUUUCAAGUGUUGUUGGUU